RNAcentral lists this ribosomal RNA (1516 nucleotides) under uncultured prokaryote. Its description in RNAcentral is "partial 16S ribosomal RNA". It matches the Rfam family "Bacterial small subunit ribosomal RNA". The record is from RNAcentral.
AGAGUUUGAUCAUGGCUCAGAUUAAACGCUGGCGGCAGGCCUAACACAUGCAAGUCGAGCGAGAAAGCACUUCGGUGUGAGUAGAGCGGCGGACGGGUGAGUAACGCGUAGGAAUUUGCCCAGUAGUGGGGGACAACUUAGGGAAACUUAAGCUAAUACCGCAUACGCCCUAAGGGGGGAAACACUUCGGACCUUGCGCUAUUGGAUGAGCCUGCGUCGGAUUAGCUAGUUGGUGAGGUAAUGGCUCACCAAGGCGACGAUCCGUAGCUGGUCUGAGAGGAUGAUCAGCCACACUGGGACUGAGACACGGCCCAGACUCCUACGGGAGGCAGCAGUGGGGAAUAUUGGACAAUGGGCGAAAGCCUGAUCCAGCUACGCCGCGUGUGUGAAGAAGGCCUGAGGGUUGUAAAGCACUUUCAGUAGGGAAGAAAGGUCAAGUGUUAAUAGCGCUAGGCUGUGACGUUACCUACAGAAGAAGGACCGGCUAACUCCGUGCCAGCAGCCGCGGUAAUACGGAGGGUCCGAGCGUUAAUCGGAAUUACUGGGCGUAAAGCGCACGUAGGCGGUUUCGUAAGUCGAAUGUGAAAGCCCUGGGCUUAACCUGGGAACUGCAUUCGAUACUGCGUAACUAGAGUAUAACAGAGGAAUGUGGAAUUCAGAGUGUAGCGGUGAAAUGCGUAGAUAUUCUGAGGAAUACCGGUGGCGAAGGCGGCCCCCUGGAUUGAUACUGACACUGAGGUGCGAAAGCGUGGGUAGCAAACAGGAUUAGAUACCCUGGUAGUCCACGCCGUAAACGAUGUCUACUAGCCGUUGGAAUCCUUAGAGGUUUUAGUGGCGCAGCUAACGCAAUAAGUAGACCGCCUGGGGAGUACGGCCGCAAGGCUAAAACUCAAAUGAAUUGACGGGGGCCCGCACAAGCGGUGGAGCAUGUGGUUUAAUUCGACGCAACGCGAAGAACCUUACCUACUCUUGACAUCCUCUGCCCUCGGCAGAGAUGCCUUGGUGCCUUCGGGAACCGAGUGACAGGUGCUGCAUGGCUGUCGUCAGCUCGUGUCGUGAGAUUUUGGGUUAAGUCCCGUAACGAGCGCAACCCUUGUCCUUAUUUGCCAGCACGUAAUGGUGGGAACUCAGGGAGACUGCCGGUGAUAAACCGGAGGAAGGUGGGGAUGACGUCAAGUCAUCAUGGCCCUUACGGCCAGGGCUACACACGUGCUACAAUGGAUGGUACAGACGGACGCAAAGCGGCGACGUGGAGCAAAUCCGAGAAAGCCGGUCGUAGUCCGGAUUGGAGUCUGAAACUCGACUCCAUGAAGUCGGAAUCGCUAGUAAUCGCGAAUCAGCAUGUCGCGGUGAAUACGUUCCCGGGCCUUGUACACACCGCCCGUCACACCAUGGGAGUGGGUUGCACCAGAAGCAGAUAGUCUAACCUUCGGGAGGGCGUUUGCCACGGUGUGCUUCAUGACUGGGGUGAAGUCGUAACAAGGUAGCCGUAGGGGAACCUGCGGCUGGAUCACCU